Molecule: ribosomal RNA, 303 nt
Filed under: uncultured bacterium
Lineage: Bacteria
Description: partial 16S ribosomal RNA
Rfam family: Bacterial small subunit ribosomal RNA
Source: RNAcentral
AGCAGUAGCCACGGGAAUACGAAGGGUGCAAGCGUUAAUCGGAAUUACUGGGCGUAAAGCGUGCGUAGGCGGUGAGUUAAGUCUGCUGUGAAAUCCCCGGGCUCAACCUGGGAAUGGCAGUGGAUACUGGCUCGCUAGAGUGUGUCAGAGGAUGGUGGAAUUCCCGGUGUAGCGGUGAAAUGCGUAGAGAUCGGGAGGAACAUCAGUGGCGAAGGCGGCCAUCUGGGACAACACUGACGCUGAGGCACGAAAGCGUGGGGAGCAAACAGGAUUAGAUACCCCCGUAGUCCCUGUCUCUUAUAA